UUUAAAGAGAGUUUGAUCCUGGCUCAGGACGAACGCUGGCGGCGUGCCUAAUACAUGCAAGUCGAACGAACGGAGGAAGAGCUUGCUCUUCCAAAGUUAGUGGCGGACGGGUGAGUAACACGUGGGCAACCUGCCUGUAAGUUGGGGAUAACUCCGGGAAACCGGGGCUAAUACCGAAUGAUAAAGUGUGGCGCAUGCCACGCUUUUGAAAGAUGGUUUCGGCUAUCGCUUACAGAUGGGCCCGCGGUGCAUUAGCUAGUUGGUAGAGUAAUGGCCUACCAAGGCAACGAUGCAUAGCCGACCUGAGAGGGUGAUCGGCCACACUGGGACUGAGACACGGCCCAGACUCCUACGGGAGGCAGCAGUAGGGAAUCUUCCGCAAUGGACGAAAGUC
This 394-nucleotide ribosomal RNA is filed under the name Listeria monocytogenes. RNAcentral describes it as "bacterial SSU rRNA". It matches the Rfam family "Bacterial small subunit ribosomal RNA", at positions 1 to 383 of the family's 1533-position model. Lineage: Bacteria; Bacillati; Bacillota; Bacilli; Caryophanales; Listeriaceae. The record is from RNAcentral.